RNAcentral lists this ribosomal RNA (361 nucleotides) under uncultured bacterium. RNAcentral describes it as "bacterial SSU rRNA". It matches the Rfam family "Bacterial small subunit ribosomal RNA", at positions 537 to 896 of the family's 1533-position model. The record is from RNAcentral.
AGCGUUGUUCGGAAUUAUUGGGCGUAAAGGGUGCGUAGGCGGUUUGGUAAGUCUUUUGUGAAAUCUAUGGGCUCAACUCAUAGACUGCAAGGGAAACUGCCGGGCUUGAGUACGGGAGAGGUGAGUGGAAUUCCUGGUGUAGCGGUGAAAUGCGUAGAUAUCAGGAGGAACACCUGUGGCGAAAGCGGCUCACUGGACCAUAACUGACGCUGAUGCACGAAAGCUAGGGGAGCAAACAGGAUUAGAUACCCUGGUAGUCCUAGCCCUAAACGAUGACUGCUUGGUGUGGGGGGUACCCAAUCCCUCCGUGCCGUAGCUAACGCGUUAAGCAGUCCGCCUGGGGAGUACGGUCGCAAGGCUG